Molecule: ribosomal RNA, 301 nt
Filed under: uncultured bacterium
Lineage: Bacteria
Description: partial 16S ribosomal RNA
Rfam family: Bacterial small subunit ribosomal RNA
Source: RNAcentral
CAGCAGCCGCGGUAAUACGUAGGUGGCAAGCGUUGUCCGGAAUUAUUGGGCGUAAAGGGCUCGCAGGCGGUUUCUUAAGUCUGAUGUGAAAGCCCCCGGCUCAACCGGGGAGGGUCAUUGGAAACUGGGAAACUUGAGUGCAGAAGAGGAGAGUGGAAUUCCACGUGUAGCGGUGAAAUGCGUAGAGAUGUGGAGGAACACCAGUGGCGAAGGCGACUCUCUGGUCUGUAACUGACGCUGAAGAGCGAAAGCGUGGGGAGCGAACAGGAUUAGAUACCCCGGUAGUCCCUGUCUCUUAUAC